UGGGGAAUAUUGGACAAUGGGGGCAACCCUGAUCCAGCAAUUCUGUGUGCACGAUGAAGGUCUUCGGAUUGUAAAGUGCUUUCAGCAGGGAAGAAAAAAAUGACGGUACCUGCAGAAGAAGCGACGGCUAAAUACGUGCCAGCAGCCGCGGUAAUACGUAUGUCGCGAGCGUUAUCCGGAAUUAUUGGGCAUACAGGGCAUCUAGGCGGCCGGAUAAGUCUGGGGUGAAAACUUGCGGCUCAACCGCAA
This 249-nucleotide ribosomal RNA is filed under the name uncultured Leptotrichia sp. RNAcentral describes it as "partial 16S ribosomal RNA". It matches the Rfam family "Bacterial small subunit ribosomal RNA", at positions 355 to 618 of the family's 1533-position model. The record is from RNAcentral. Lineage: Bacteria; Fusobacteriati; Fusobacteriota; Fusobacteriia; Fusobacteriales; Leptotrichiaceae.